CAAGGAGACAAGGUGGCCGCUACCUCGGUGCGAGAACGCAAGUCAAUAUAGUGGUCACGAUGCACCGACAGAAGUCAGCGCGACGUUCGGCAGCCCGCCUUCACGUCCCACCGCGAGAACCAACUCGACGCCCUUCAAACCAUUCGCCAUGGGUAAGCUCGAAUAUGGCGCUCCGCGAACUCCGCUGCAGCUCCGCCCUGGGCGUCAACGAAGUUCACCCUGAGAGCGUCAAGGGCCCUCCCGGUGCACUGCAAGAGAGCGCGGCUGAAGGUUUGAAACCUGAGCGUCGUCACAAGCCGCGCCCUUGCUACGUGGAAAGGAGGGGCGGUUCGUGCCCCUCUUGAAGCCGCACAAAACAGAUGGUGGUCCCGCGCCUUACUAUCCUGUAAAACCGACUAGCAACCACCCCCCAAAGCCCCCUCCAGCGAGUCGCCUCGCCACGACUGAGCGACCAUUCUGCGAGACAGACUCCAGCCGCACCCCGCUCCGCUGUAGACCCCCCCCCCCCCCCCCCCAAGUGUGCAGCGCAACCGGACGCCGGCACGGCACCGCGCCAUCUGUGCUCGUCACACCACACUCCUCACAUCCUCCGCGGGCAAGGAUGUGAUGCAGGCCACACUACGAUUCGCCCUCUGCAAGGUGGCGCGCUGGACGCUCGAGCACGCCAGGCAGAGGGGUGAGCAUCUCCCCAAAAUAAGGCGCACACGCGCCGGUGCGCGGCACCGCGACCAGCAACAGCUCUCCGCUGCACGCAUUCACCUCGUCACGCACGUCUCACUCGCGCUGCAUGGGCUUCUCUCUUGUAGCGUCUUUGACGCCGCCGACAAGUCCCCCUUCGGAAGGACAAGCUGUAAAUUCUCUGCGCGCAGCCGCACGUGCCUGUCCGAGAGCCCCUUCCGCUUGGCACACCCACUCCUGCCAGAGGCGUGCGGGCUCAGGAGAGGGCGGAGUGCUCCCUGCUACCACAGAUGUGUAGCAGCGUUCCAUCUGUCGCGGUGCAUGUGGGCACGCCAUCCAGACCCCCUUCCCCCUUCCUAUGAAAUAGACCGAAAUGGACGAUGAAGACACCGAGCCCUCUUCCACAGACAGCAGCGUCGCCUUGAGGCGGGGCCACGAUGCAGAAAUGCGAGUGCUGUGCGCACGGACUGUCAAGCAUAGCUGGCAUGGCGUGCCACGUUCAAGCAGCGCAUCGAGAGGUCAGCAGCGCAAGAGCGAUGGGCGGAAAAGGCGGGAAGGGAUCCGUACGAGUCAAGCCCAAGGCGCGUGUGUGCAAAGAGCAUGCGGUACCCCCUCCAUCUGAGCGGGUGGGCUGCUGAGGCAUGGGUGCGGGGAGGCACGACGGGGGCACCUCGAGUUGCACCCACCGGGUCUUCCAGACCCUCCAUGCGGAGGGUGUUCACCCUAUAUUAUGGGACGCGGCGGCUUGAAGCGAGCCGGGGAGAAGCGCGGCACACAGCCAGACGGCGCAGGGUCUUCGAGGGCCCUGGCCCGAAGCUCGCCAACUCCCUCCUUGAGCUCGCGCUGCAUGCACGUGGACCACCCUCUGUUGCCCGCACGCUAGAUGCCAGGGCUUUUGUCCUCGAGCAGAAGCCUGUGCGCAGCCCGCGUGGAUUAGGGCAUGCGGCCCACCCAAGCCCCCCUCGGGCGCCGCUCACGCAGCGCGCAUUCGACGUACGGACAAGGACGGACAAGACGAGUCCCGUCGACGCACAACCCUGAUUCUACAGCAAGACGGCUCACCCUAGGCGAUCAGGAUUUAGCCGCGGUGCAGCAGAAGGUGGUGGUGUGUGGUGGUGUGUGCGCAUGCGUGUAUAUUUUGUUGACUCGUACAUGGCAAAAUGACACUUCGAAAAGGGAAAAUUCCGUGGUUCAUGUGCGCGUUGCCGCCAUAGCCUUAUUCCUAUGACGGUAGUGGACACCGUUUGUUGCGUUGUAGCGCGUGCUACACCUUCUCUUCCUCCGAGUUUAUUUGCGCCGGUCCUCUGCGUACACCGCCCCGCUAACGGCUCCAUCGCUCGUGACUUGUGGCACGGGCGCACUGGCUUCUUUCACCAAUCGUUACUCCCCUUGAGUGUAGUGCAAGCGAUUUUAUCAUCUGUUUCGCUUGCGAGUCUGCUCACGUGUGCGUGAUGCACCUUGUCAAGGCAACGCUACGCAGCAGAAACGGGAGGUGCAGAGAGAGAGGGCGAGAGCGUAAUUAAUAACGGAGCGAAACAGGCAGGUUUCUGUGUGCGCGUGUGGAGCUUUUCAUGCCUGCAGGCGGCGGCGGUACAGGAAACAGUUGCACCUAUGAAGAGAGAGUGGGCAGCGCGUGCGGCACUUGCAGGCGCUACCCGUCCUUCGCUAUUUUUGCUUUGAAUUAUUUGUGUCGGCUGGGCAGGGAGACGUCCGACAACUCUUCAGCCGCAAACCGUCGAGAAUAAACGAAAGACAAUGAAAGCGAUUCACGCGCGUCUGUGUGUCGCGCGCCGCUUACGCAUAUGCGCGCAAGAGAAGAACAGCAAACGAAUAACCCUUAACAGACAAAACGAUGAAGAGGAGCGCUGCUCCGCCCCCUCCCCCUCCCCCUACCCCCCACUCCUUCCCGCUCCUUUCCGAGUCGAGCUGGGAGCGAAAACGUCAACGAGAGCAUCUGAGCUAGGGUCAG
This 2647-nucleotide unclassified non-coding RNA is filed under the name Leishmania donovani. RNAcentral describes it as "gene:LdHU3.32.3270(CDS-product:hypothetical_prote in)". Lineage: Eukaryota; Euglenozoa; Kinetoplastea; Trypanosomatida; Trypanosomatidae. The record is from RNAcentral.